AGGCUGGAGUACAGUGGUGUGAUCUCGGCUCACUGCAUCCUCCGCCUCCUGGGCUCAAGCAAUUCUCCUGCCUCAGCCUCCUGAGUAGCUGGGAUUACAGGUGUGUGCCACCAUGCCCAGCUAAUUUUUGUGUUUUUAGUAGAGACGGAGUUUCACCAUGUUGACCAGGCUGGUCUCGAACUCCUGACCUAUGGUGAUCCACCCGCCUCGGCUUCCCAAAGUGCUGGGAUUACAGGUGUGAGCCACCGCGCACAGCCUGACGGUUCUUAAUAUUGAGAUACUUACAAGGCAUUUUGGGGAGCAGAGAAGUGAGGGACUGACUUUAAAGGUCUUGGGAAGGAGGAGGGAGUUUUGAAUUUAGCAGCGAAGAAUAAUGUGUGACACGUGUUUCUUACACUAGAUAUCAGCUUUGCAAGGGCAUGGGGAUGUGUUACUGUGCUUAGUUAAGUGUUAAUGGUUUGAUAUGGGACCCAAGAGAUGGGACUGGAAAGAUAGGCAGAUCAUAAAGUCCUCGUUUAUAUGAGACUCCCAAGAGUAUAGAGUUUACUUUAUAAGGUAUGAGAAGUUAAGGGUUUUAAGAUGGGGAAUAAUUUGUUGAGAUUACAUUGACAGCAGUGUGAUAGAUGGAUUAGUGAAAAGAGAUCAGGUAGAUCAGUUUGGAAACUGCUCCCACAAAAUAUUAUGAGGCUCUUAUUAUGAGGCUCUGAGCCAAGGUAGAGAUGAUGUGAUUAAGUGAAAUGAGAUAUGCAAAAGGAUAAGGUUGGAAAUAGGUAAUAAAUUUGGAUUUCAAGCCUGUUUUGUAGGACAGAUGGAUCUGUAGCUCAAAGGAGAGGUAAAACCUGAAGAUAAUUAUAGAUACUUUAUUAUUAAGGCUAUGAGAAGGAAUGACAAUAUUUAUGGUGAAUUCAGUGGGUUUCUUAAGUGAGUUUAUUAUAGUCAAGAGUGUCAAGUGGGUGGACGUGGUGGCUCACGCCUGUAAUCCCAGAACUUUGGGAGGCUGAGGCGGGCAGAUCACCUGAGGUCAGGAGUUUGAGACCAGCCUGACCAACAUGGUGAAACCCAGUCUCUACUAAAAAAAUACAAAAAUUAGCUGGGCGUGGUCACGCGCACCUGUAAUCCCAG
RNAcentral lists this long non-coding RNA (1122 nucleotides) under Homo sapiens (human). RNAcentral describes it as "HSALNT0295951". The record is from RNAcentral. Lineage: Eukaryota; Metazoa; Chordata; Mammalia; Primates; Hominidae.